Molecule: long non-coding RNA, 2728 nt
Organism: Megachile rotundata (alfalfa leafcutting bee)
Lineage: Eukaryota; Metazoa; Arthropoda; Insecta; Hymenoptera; Megachilidae
Source: RefSeq, a predicted model, not a curated record
GAACUCAAAGAUCCAACACACUUAAAUCUCAAAUUCCUAAAAUUCUAGUCUCUGCAAUUGUCAGCAUUACCCCUAAAAAAUCAGCUCGCGAUCUGAGACCUUCCCUUCUUUAAUUUUCGUUACACCACAAUCCACCGUGAAUCGUUUCUUUACUUUCGACACCGUUUCAGGGGUAACAAAGCCGUCGGACAAAUCCCAGGAACAACAGCCAAGACGAGUAUCCAGGACCUUCCCAACGAGUAUAUCAGGACCUUUCCAACGAGUAGAUAAUUUCCGCAAAGAUCUGUCGAGGAUCGAGCGAAAACGAUAGACGGAAAGGCACGCGAGUACACGAAGAUAUAAAAAAUGGUGACGCGAUACGUAGACAAGGCAGUGACCAAGCGUAGAGGUCGAGCCUCUGAAUUCGAGCUACUGAAAGCCAACGAGCGGUUCAUCCCUCGUCAGUUUGGCGAAGGGCUGUCAAGAACGGACACGUUGGUCCUGUACAAAAGGAGCGAUUUAGCCGCGCGAAGUGCUACGUCAUCGAGUACGGGAGGUCCAACGAUGAGGUCCCGAAUUAUUAUUAUGUCUGUGAGAACGUAUCUCUCGGCCUGUCAGGCCGGUUCUGGUCGAGAAAGACAUACCACUCGAGACACCGGCAGCUAAAUUUGUUUGCGCCCGAUGAAAUUCCUUGGAAAAUUGAUGAAAAUUUUCUUGGUGGAGCCUUCGGUGACCUCUGGUUUUGAGAUUCAAUAAAUUUGCAUGUAGCUUUUAUAAAUUAAGGGAAGGUACCAACUUAAAAUGACCAUCGUAGCUUCUGUACUGAGUCCUUUUAUCUAAAGAAAUUAAGUAGUUGAGAGUCAGAGAGUAAACCAACGAUGACUUUGAAAUCCGCGUUUAUCAGUCACCCUCAGUACAUUUGAAAUUUGAUAAAUUUUUAUGACACCGUGUGAAACUGUUGCAUCUAUAAUCACUGAAAAAACGCUCGAAACCAACACAUUUUUCCUCGUCGACAAUGUAGCCUUUGAAAGGUUAAAAGAUGUCGGAUCAAUUGAUGUUUAAUGGACUCUUCGAACAACUUCCUAGCGAACGCUCAGCUUCCGAGUCAUCGAUGAAACGUUUGAAGAUUUCCUUUGAGAGGAAUGUGAACCAGGACAAUGGAAAGCGAUCGAAGAACGACGGAUUCAGCGUUUCGACGGAAGUUCUGCGAACACGGGGGUGGAUCGAGGACCCGUGAAUCUCAUUAAGCAAAUUGACGUUGUCGAACCCGCCUACCUGACCACCGUAGUCGAAUGUCCCAUUAGGAUGAAUCUGACUGACGUGAACAUAUAAUUAUAGAGUAUCACGAAUGAUGGACAAACUAUCCUCCGAUGAAACGUGGACCAAUUUACUCGUCGUGCAACUUCAACACCAUAGAAUGCAAAAGAAUGUACAUAACUUCUUCUUCGUUCGCUAUAGUUUCACAGGGAAGAAGAGCUUAUAGAGGGAAUAUCUGACAAUUCAUUAGAGUAUAAGAAUAUAUAGAAAGUCUAGAGAUAACGUUACGUAAAAAAAUGGUGAUUCGAAUCUUUUCUAACCGUAGCUCAGAGAAAUUGAAUUUGGGAAAUGUUCCCAGUGAAUGCGCAUCGAGUCGUGGCAGACUCUCGCAGCGACGAGGGUCGUCCGAGCUUAUUUGUUUAACUAAAAUCUCUCGUAGUGUCCGGUAGCCACGCAUUUCGGGGCCGAGGAUCGAUACUUGUCUAGCGGUUGAACAAAGUGGCGCGUGCGGCGGACAGAAAUCCAAGGAGACGAACAUCUGUUGACACAAGUCCGAAGGACGCGGCUUUGUUGGUCGACGAUCUUUUCAGAAGCUCGAAACGCGAGGAACUCGAAAAACCUCCUCGAUGCCCUCGAGCAUGACUCUCGUACACGCUCGUGUGAGAGCUAGAUCCUAGCUGGACACGCAUACUUAAACGGAUAGUCGCGAGAGGCGUUGAUUAUUCUACUUUUCAACAAUCGGUACCGAUGCAGUGGUAAUGAAGGAGAAUUUUCGGACGACGACGCCAUUACUUAUUUCGUACGAUGAUGAAUAUGGUCGCUAAACGAUAUAGGGGAAGAAGGCCCAACUAUUCACGUUUCAAGUUUACUGUUCUUAAAACUGUAUAGCGCUGUGACUUUCCUAAGAAAAAUGGCGACACAGAAUGAGUGGUAACAUGAACUCUGUAGUAAUUACAUAGUAACGUGGAUAGCGUGGUAAUGUGUAUUGAGCAAUACUUAUAUCGCAUGUAGCAACCCCGGACUCUUGUAUGACUACAUGCAAGAUUCCGCUGUCUAAUUAAAACAAGAAUAGAAUAGAUACGGACACGUCGAAACGUAUACUGUUACAAGCGACGGAACAAUUCAUGAGUCUACAGUCACGAGACGACGAUACGAACAAGACUACUGUGGACAUUGAAACACGAGUCCGACGCUUCAUCGAUACCUAAAUGGACUAAGUGCGAGCUGGUCUCGAAGUCGAUAAAAGCGGGACAGACGUGCCUCGUCGAAGGCGAAAGGGAUGAUCGCGUGCAACUCGUGAAAGAACUCCCGAGAAUCGAGACUAUUUACUUCCAUCCACGAUUCUCCUUUUCCCGAACAAAUUUUCUACUUGCGCGAUCCACGUAUCAAGCGUUUCAAAACGCAUCCGUGUAAAAUUGGUCUCGUUUGAGGGAAACGAUUAGGAAAUUAGGAGACGGAGAGGACUGUAAUCCCUACGAUACUCCAUUGUUAU